AGCUCCAAUAUCGUAUAUUAAAGUUGUUGUGGUUAAAAAGCUCGUAGUUGGAUUUUGGUGGGUAGUGGUUGGUUUGAAUUGAUUCAACACAGACUUUUUUACCCAUGUGUUUUGCCAGAAUCCUACGGGCGAUCUUUACCGAUUGUCAGAUGGAACUGGCAGGUUUACUUUGAAAAAAUUAGAGUGCUCAAAGCAAGCUUACUGCUUGAAUAGUUGCGCAUGGAAUAAUAGAAUAGGAAGUCGUUUCUAUUUUGUUGGUUUUCGGAAAUCGACUUAAUGAUUAAUAGGGAUAGUCGGGGGCAUUCAUAUUCAAACAACAGAAGUGAAAUUCUUGGACCGUUUGAAGACGAACUAAGGCGCAAGCAUUUGCCAAGAAUGUUUUCA
RNAcentral lists this ribosomal RNA (384 nucleotides) under marine copepod environmental sample. RNAcentral describes it as "SSU rRNA". It matches the Rfam family "Eukaryotic small subunit ribosomal RNA", at positions 587 to 972 of the family's 1831-position model. The record is from RNAcentral. Lineage: Eukaryota; Metazoa; Arthropoda; Copepoda.